This 440-nucleotide ribosomal RNA is filed under the name uncultured bacterium. RNAcentral describes it as "partial 16S ribosomal RNA". It matches the Rfam family "Bacterial small subunit ribosomal RNA", at positions 338 to 795 of the family's 1533-position model. The record is from RNAcentral.
CCUACGGGAGGCAGCAGUGGGGGAUAUUGCACAAUGGGGGGAACCCUGAUGCAGCGACGCCGCGUGGGUGAAGAAGCGCCUCGGCGCGUAAAGCCCCGUCAGCAGGGAAGAAAAUGACGGUACCUGAAGAAGAAGCCCCGGCUAACUACGUGCCAGCAGCCGCGGUAAUACGUAGGGGGCAAGCGUUAUCCGGAUUUACUGGGUGUAAAGGGCGUGCAGCCGGGAAGACAAGUCAGAUGUGAAAUGCCGCGGCUUAACCCCGGAACUGCAUUUGAAACUGGUUUUCUUGAGUACCGGAGAGGUCAUCGGAAUGCCUGGUGUAGCGGUGAAAUGCGUAGAUAUAAGGAAGAACACCGGUGGCGAAGGCGGAAGGCUGGACGGCAACUGACGGUGAGGCACGAAAGCGUGGGGAGCGAACAGGAUUAGAUACCCCAGUAGUC